This 5102-nucleotide long non-coding RNA is filed under the name Equus caballus (horse). RNAcentral describes it as "lncRNA (ENSECAG00000049090.1)". The record is from RNAcentral. Lineage: Eukaryota; Metazoa; Chordata; Mammalia; Perissodactyla; Equidae.
UAUCUCUUCAGGAAGGUUCUCAGAAGCUGCCAGAUGGUUUUGCUGACAUCUCAUUGAUUAGAAUUUAGUCACAAGAUCACACCUGGCCACAGGGAGAUUGGAAAACCCUGUCUCCCUGCAGACAAAGAAAACAUCUUCUGGGGGAUAAGCCACAUCUGCCACUCUGGGAUGCAGGCAUUCCACCAGCCUGGGGAGCAUUCUCCAUGAGCUGCCCCAACGUCCCUUCUUCAGGGAAGCACUUCAGUCAGACCAGAGAGAAACCCUGUGCACCCAGGCCCACGGUCAGCAGAUACCACAAGGUGAAUCCAUGCAGGACAUUUGGACGCCAUGAAUCCACGUUGCUCUGGAGGGUAAGCUGCACCUGCCAGCGAGACAAAGACCUUUGUGAUUCAAACGACCUGAAGGCUUCUUUCCAGGCUGAGUGUCUUCCUUCCCCCGUGCUGGCGGGCCGCCGAGGAAAGCCGUGGUGUCUCUGAUAACUUGGCCUUACAACAAAAAUCCUAGAGAAGCUGGUGAAUAAAAGCAUGAGGAGACUUUAAUUAAUUCACGUUCUCCCACCAGGCACUAGACAUAUGCGGGCUGCGCUACAGCUAACUCUAAACAACCAUGAAAUGUCAGAAGAGAGGGGUGGCAUCCACGUUCCAGGACGGCAUGGUGCGGGAGACAGCAUCUGGCUGGGCUUUAGGAACCCUGUGUUCCGUUUUCCCUUCUUCUGCCACUAACACGCUGAGAACUGGCGGCGGGCCCCUGACGAUAAUGCACAUGGCACAUACACUUUUCAAAGUACCUUCAAAUCCAUUGGUCCAUUCACUCCUCCACUCGAACUUUGGUUUGCUCCAUGUCCACACCCCCCAACGCGUACACCAUUCUUAUCCACAUGUUCCCCCAUCUUGCCAUCACUCUAAGAGAAGAUUAUAGUAUUUUUAACCACCCUUGGUUCUUUCUGUGUGUUUCUCCAACUUGGGAACAUUCAUGGCACCCGCCAGCUCUGAAGCUGCUCCCCCCACCCCAUGGAAGCACAGUGUAACUACGAAUGCAGCCUGUACUCUUAGGUAAACACCCCACCAUUCAUAAGUGUCUAUCUAAAAAUGCAGACAAGUUAUAUUUCUAGCCAAGGCUGACCAUAGCUGGAAUGAUAAAUCUUUUGUUGGAAAAAAACAAUUCACUUUAAUAAAAGUAACUAUGGUUUAUACAGCACCUCCUAUGUGCUACCCACAGUAGUAUUAAAAGUUACCGUCUUUAGGGCCAGCCCUGUGGCAUAGUGGUUAAGUUCAGCGCAUUCUGCUUCAGUGGCCCGGGUUCGUGGCUUUGGUUCCUGGGCAUGGACCUACACCACUCCUCAGCCAUGCUGUUGUGGCAACCCACAUACAAAAGUCAGGAAGAUUGGCACAGAUGUUAGCUCAGGGCCAAUCUUCCUCAGAAAACAAUAUCCUAACGAUGUAGGCCUCAUCUUCCAUGUUCCACAGGUGAGGCCUUGAGCUUAUGUACUUUGCUCUAAGUCACAGAUCUGUUUGGAUGUGGAGCCAGAAUUUGAACCUGGCUCCUGACUCUUCUACACUCCACUGUCUAAGCACGAAAUGCUUCCUGUGUUUUAUUUUCCACACUAUAAUUUGAUAACAUAAUUGCCAUCUCUUCUUUAAACAGCCACUCUCAGUUCCACGUGAGAAACUGCCUUUAAACUUAAGGUCGUUUAAGGCGAAUGCGUCCACUUUGAAAUGGGCGUGAAGUGAAUCUCUCUCCCCUCUCCGUCUGCGGGGCGGCGGGGCCUGGUCCACACUGGGCGUGUCUUGACAGGAGGUAGGGCGGAAAUGGUGGACAGCUGUUCCUUUAUGAAGUCUCGAGAAGGGUCAAAGUCUGCCUUGUAGGCUUGAGGCAGAAAGGAGGAAGUUUACCCACUGGCUCCGUGCCGGCUACACAGCCUGCUGCCCCCUCCUCCCACUCCGGUCCCGGUGCUGUCUGUUUCUUGAAGGUUUCAGCUGAUCCAUCCCUACAGAGACAGUGAGAGUCUUGUGAAAACAGUGUGUGCUUUGGAUGCAAACAACCCUGGGUUCCAAACCCACUUCUCUAGAGAGAAGGCUACCCUCGCCUCCUCCGGUCGUUUGGAGGUUAAAUGGAAUCACAUGGGAAGAGCAUUGCACAUGGUGGACGUCUGAGAGACGCCCAUGGCUUGGCCUCCCUCUGUUGAUAACUCUGCCUCCUUCCACCUUCCCGAUGUACAGGGCGAGCGGGACCCUCUGUGCCUUCCCCUGAGGAUGGAAGUCAGCCUCACUCAAGCCUCCGAGGCUUCUGAAUCAGCCUCUUGCCCUCCUGCCGCUGCUCGGGGCUGCCCUCCUAGCCUCAGCCCCUUUCAUCUCUCCUGUGUUUCUUUAUUCGGUUCUCCACAAACCUACGCCUUCAGGAAGCUUUGUAUUCUUGCUAACCAGCAGGAAGCCCUAAAUUCCUCCACAUUUAGUCUGUGUUGCACUUUCCACUGCUUGAUUAUACAUCACAAUCUAUUGCUUUCCGCUUAUCUUUCUCUAAGACAACCCAUGCCCCGUGACCUGGUGACACUUGGCACUAAGGACGUAGUAAGUAGAGCCACUUCAUGGCCUCCUUUAUGUAGAUGCUUGUUCCGGGGUUAGACAAUGCAGUCAGCCAACUAAUUCAGUGUCUAAUAAAAAUGCAUUGGCUGGACUUGAAAAUUACCCUGAGUCUGACUUCCCGUGCCUUCAGACUGCCGGGCAGGAGUUUAAGAUAACAGCCUUUGGACAUGGCCCCUUUUUCCCAGCAGAAUUCAGGUGAAAUGGCAGAGGGGCGAGGCUAAUGCUCAGCCACCUGCCACUUCGUGGCAGCCAGUCUCCAAGAUAGUCCCAAUGAUCCCACCUCAUGGUAUUCACACCCCUCUAUAGUCCCCUCCCACAUUGUGUCAGGGUUGGUCUGUGCUGUGCUCUGAAUGUUUCUGUCCCCCUAAAAUUCAUAUGCUGAAAUCCUAUUGCCCAACGCGGUGGUGUUAGGAGAUGGGGCCUUUGAGUGGUGCCUAGGUCAGGAGGAUGGAGCCCUCAUGAAUGAGAUUAGUGUUCUUAUAAAAGAGACCUCACAGAGACUUCUGCCCCUUCCACCAUGUGAGGACACAGUGAGGUGUCAGCAAUGAACGCAGCAGAGAGCCCUCACGGGAACGUGACCAUGCUGGCACCUUGAUCUUGGACUCCCCAGCCUCCAGAACUGAGGGAAGCAGGUUUCUGUUGUUGAUAAGCCACCCAGUUUGUGGUAUUUUGUCAUAGCAUCCUGAACGGACCAAGAUUAUGUGUGUAACCAGCAGAACCCAGGAGGAAUGGUGGGAGAUCACACUGGAGGCUGGAGUAUGAGGGCCACUGUGGCCUCUGUCUCCCUUUCCCUUGGGUUGCUUGCUCUGGUGGAAGCAGUGGCCUGUCUCAAGGACACUCAAGCAGCCCAGUGGAGAGGCUCACACUGGGAGGAGAUGAGGCCUCCAGCUAACAGGCAUGGAGUGUGCCAUCUUGGGAGCAGACCCUCCACCCCAGUCGAGCCUUCAGAUGACUAAGCCCAGCCGACAUCUUGACCACAGCUUCAUUGGAGAUCCUGAGCCAGAACAGCAUAGUGAGGCUGCUCCCAGAGUCCUGACCUGCAGAAACUGGGUGAAAAAUAAGUGUUGUCUUAGACGGACAUGUUUUAGAGCAAAUUUUUAUGCAGCAGUAGAUAACUAAUACAGACUCGGUUCUGACUUGCGUCUGCCUCUCUCCUGCAAAGUGCCACCCCCCGAAAUGUACACCUGAGACCCAUCUGAGGUGAACCAGCUUUACUUAUAAUUGAAAACAAAUUAUAUACACUUUAAAAUUAUUUGACUGUCAUUUCAUUACCAAAUGAACAAAGUCAAACAACCUAACUUUCCUUAACAAGAAUAUCAGGUUUGACUAUAUUAUAAUUGGGAACAAAACAUAAAAUACAUUUGCAUUUUUUUCCUAGAGUCGAAGCUUUUAAUGGGAGACAUUAAAAAAAUCUGAAGAAAGCUGCAGCAACUGGUGUUUUGAAAGUCAAAUGCCCUUAGCCAAUAUAAGCCACAAUAAAGAAAAUAAAACCAUAAGUCACCCAUAAGGAUGCCUUUGUCAUCCACAGAGACCGUCUCUCGCAGUGGAUCAGUACAGUGUACGUGGUGCACACACAGUCCACUACAUUUUAUUGAGGAUCCUCAACGUGCCAGGCACUGAGCCCAGGAACAGAAAACAUGUUCCUCCAGAAAUUCAGAAUCUAGAUGGUCUGGAGAUAACCUACCAUCGGGUCACAAUUUUGCAUUGUGCUUUAUCCAGGAAACACGCACAGACUAUAUAUCAAAUAUAAACUACUUUAAUAAAAAAUAUUAAUUUAUAACUACUUGCUCCAUAGAGAUACUCAAAGCAGAUGUCUGGGAAUGGAGCAAAUUCCAAGGAAUUUUUAAAGUCAGGCAUUUCUUAUGAGUUAGAGAAACAGGACAGGUCACACUGGCUCCAUCAUCCACAGGGCACAGGGCAAAAUGAAAAUGCAAGCCCCGUGUUUGAAAAUUAAUAAGAAUUUCAAGAUGACAGCAGAGCAUUAAACUAAGCACAGGGCCUGUCUGAGCGCAGGGACUACGAGACGGCACGGGUCCUACAGCCAUGAGGCCGCACGAUGGCAGGGGGCGUGUUGUCUCUUGUUACAGAGAUCUCUCAGGAGUUAAGCACGGAAGCGAAGUGUAGGUGGGACGAGAAGGCAUCCACGAAUGGGUCAUUGAGUGACACAGACAGCCGUUUGUUGAGUUAACAGUAACUAAUAUUUCUACGGUACUUUACAGUUUACAAAGCACUCCCCCCAGAUCUGGUAUCUCAAUGAAUCGAAGCAACAAUUCCACGAUUUAUCAAUGUUCUCCCUCUGGUAUAGAAGAGGUCAAGUGACUCCUUCAAAGCCACUCAGCCCAUUGUGAGGAGGACCCAGAGGCGGGUCAGCAGACCUCAAAUCCAAUUUCCUUCCACAAAAUCAACACAGGCUGUGCUGGGAGUUGUGUGUUACAGAGAGACAGAAUUUUAUGUGUGCGAUCCAGCCGUCCGCUGGUGAGAGCUGGAAGGUGACGGGUGCGGCACUGGGGCUGCCUCGAU